Non-coding RNA from Rattus norvegicus (Norway rat), 1471 nucleotides. NCBI's taxonomy places the organism in Eukaryota, Metazoa, Chordata, Mammalia, Rodentia, Muridae. The record is from RefSeq and is a predicted model, not a curated record.
CCGGCUCCCCGGCCCCGCCCCCAGCUUAUCUGCAUGUGCGGAGUUCCAGUUGAGAGAGUUUCCCUGAACCGGAUGAAAACACACCGACUCUGCUUUGUGGCCCAUCUCUAUAUUUUGUUGAAAGCUGAGAGGGACACGAAGCACAGCUUACGUCCGGUUAUGAGCAGUGGGUUCUCUUCCAAAUAAGCUUGAACUUCACACGGACAGAUCACCAACAAAGAGCUUUUGACUGUCGAACAGAUUCUGAAAAAAAAAUGGCCAAAGGUAAAGGUUUUCGAAAAACGAGGAAACACCUGAAAGUGUUCUGUUUCCAAACUCAAAGAUCCAAAGAGGACGAGAUAAUGCAAACUUUUGUCUUCGCUUCACCUGGGACACUGGACAUGUCUGGAUAUGAUUGCGCUGGCCACACAAUACAGGGGAGAGGUCUCACUUCUGGAUUUGGUGUGAAGAGGCUGAUGGCAUCCACGAAUGCUAAAAACCAUCAAGUCUGUGGGGAGGCGACGUGGGCUCAGUCCCGUGUUUGGUGCUUGUUCAUCCUCACAGAGUUUGUUUAGAGACGUUACUUUCAUCUUUGAGUCCUCGAGCUUCCAAGCCCAUAAAAAGAAGGCCAACUAAUUCUUCCUCCGAGGGAUGCCUCGAAUACUGAAGGAGGUGAUACAGGAAGCACUUAGAUCAAGAAGGCCACAUGCAUCUGUCUCCCUUGCUGUCACUAUUAUUAUGUCUACUGCUAAGAGCUAUUCUUACAAUAUAAAAUGCAGAUUCCAACCAUUUAAGUCAGCAGCCUUAAUUACAGCGACACUGUGUGACUGUUAUCAUAAACGCUGCCCUUUGAAUCUGCGUUUUAGUUCUUUGAGUUUCUCUGUGUUGUGGUUCCUACCCUAGUCCUAGUAGAUCCCUCAGAUAAUAGACAUCAUCGGAUUGCCCGUGAUUCUUGAGUUUCAUGUGCCUUAUUGUUUAGUACAUCAUCAAGGUUAAUGACUCACCCCCAACUCCUUGUAUCAUAGUCAGUUUACCUACUACACAGUGAGUUCUCCAUAGCUUUGUUUCCAUUAGCAUCUAGGAAUGUUGGCACACAUUUUAUUCCUACUGUGUGCUUAACAAACGUAGGCACCGUAAGUGUGUGUCAACCUAUGCUCACCUUCAUCUUGACACACGUCAUAGAAGAUGGUGCUAGUCAUAAAAGAAGUUAGUUCUGAAAUAGAGGCUUAACUUGCAAAUCACCAAGGUAAAGAUUUGAUUACAGGGAUCAAAAUAAUAGAAAUCUGACUCGAUAAUAAUUGAGUAACUAUUAAGAAUCCUUCAAAUACCUUGAAAGACUCCUUAAAAUACCAAGGUUUAAAAUAAGAUCUAAAUACAGGCCAAGGAUUUUUCCCAAGGAAAAAAAAAUCCUGCUCACUUAAUUAAGCAACUUUAAAAUAUUGUCAGUACGACUGUUUAAAUACAGUCUCUCAGGGCUCUGAAGGACAAGGGA